Molecule: transfer-messenger RNA, 378 nt
Rfam family: transfer-messenger RNA
About the family: Bacterial tmRNA, also known as 10Sa RNA or SsrA, is named for its dual tRNA and mRNA-like properties.
GGGGAUGCCAGGCAUCGACGGUUGGUCGUGUCGAAUGUGUGCAGUGUCGAAAACUGGUAAUCAAUUCGUUAAAAGGUUCCACUCUGUACAUGCAAACAAAGCAGUACCAAGUCCUUACGCUCGCGCGUUUGGAUUCGCUCCCGCAUUUGCGUAAUCUUACGCUCGCCGGUUCGAUGCUCCGCUCAUAAACGUCUCAUCCGUGAGCCGGGGUAGAAUAGCCACGAGACUGUGGAAAUCUAUGCCGUUGUCGUAGAUUUUCGAGCUUGUAACAACUCGAGACAGUAGUGUUUUGUUUUUCCUCUAGCUACUGGACUUUAAAUCAAAGGAUAGACUAUGCACUGUAGAUUCACCUUCACACCCUGAUUCGGACGGGAGUUC